RNAcentral lists this long non-coding RNA (448 nucleotides) under Zea mays. RNAcentral describes it as "long non-coding RNA (ZMAY_LNC004785)". The record is from RNAcentral. Lineage: Eukaryota; Viridiplantae; Streptophyta; Magnoliopsida; Poales; Poaceae.
AAACACUUGGACUUGAACCGAUUAAAUUCUAAAGGUCCGAGGGAGGAGGAGGCCAUUGAUUACAGGGAGGAUGAACAUAUAUUUUCAAUGACAAAAAUGAUGCAUAAUUAUUUAGUAGAUUAAUCCUGCGAGCUGGAAUACUGCAAGCCUGCAAGUGAACCACAUAUUGUGCUUGCUGCAUCUUGGUUUUAUAUCAACAUGGGUCACCCGCAUAAUAUAUCUUGUGAGCUGGAAUACUACACUAAGCUGAGGUGGAUGUGUUUUUUGUUUUUUCUUCACCUUAUGUUCUUAACAAAGCUUACCCUUAUCCUAUGUGAAAUCCCUCCUCUCCUAGGGUGAAGAAAUUCACCUCCAUGUCGUUUCAACCUCGAUGUUACUCGCAUUUUUAAUUUUCAAAUGCAGUAUCCUGAUAUUAUAGUCGACAUCUGGUAAAAUGUGCAUUAGCAAC